RNAcentral lists this ribosomal RNA (483 nucleotides) under Triticum aestivum (bread wheat). RNAcentral describes it as "partial small subunit ribosomal RNA". The record is from RNAcentral. Lineage: Eukaryota; Viridiplantae; Streptophyta; Magnoliopsida; Poales; Poaceae.
AUGGACGGCAUGGAGUUCUUCUUCGAGGAUUCUGGAGCUGGGCUCGUGCCGCGCUUGGACGGCGGUGACUUCCUACGAGAUUUAGUUGCCGGCGUGGACCUGCCUGGUGGCGGCACCAGUGGGAGUGCUGACGCUGACAAGGUCUUGACUUCUUCUCUGCCGAUGGGGCUAGUUGGAGGACUGAAGGAUUACAAAGGGCGCGAGGAUACAGGUGAAACAAUGCUCACUGGGAGGGGGCGCGGCUCGUCUGAUCUUAGCGGCGAAGGUGUGGGCGACUCCUGCGAGAUAGGCGAUACAGAAGUUGCAUCUGGCGCCAAGGAUAACGAUACAGUCGAAGAGGGCGUCGCAGUGUCAAACGCAAAUCAGUCUUGUUGGACCAAGAGGGUUAGAGUUGGGAAAGCGGCUGAUGUGAGGGAGCCCAGCUCUUCGAGGAUGACUGCCCUUGAAGCUUCUGUCCGUGCAUUUGUCGAUAAAAAAAUCUAG